Molecule: ribosomal RNA, 732 nt
Filed under: uncultured bacterium
Lineage: Bacteria
Description: bacterial SSU rRNA
Rfam family: Bacterial small subunit ribosomal RNA
Source: RNAcentral
GAUGAACGCUGACAGAAUGCUUAACACAUGCAAGUCUACUUGAAGCUAAUUUCGGUUAGUGGAUGGUGGCGGACGGGUGAGUAACGCGUAAAGAACUUGCCUCACAGAUUGGGACAACAUUUGGAAACGAAUGCUAAUACCGGAUAUUAUGAUACUUCUGCAUGGAAGAAUCAUGAAAGCUAUAUGCGCUGUGAGAGAGCUUUGCGUCCCAUUAGCUAGUUGGAGAGGUAACGGCUCACCAAGGCGAUGAUGGGUAGCCGGCCUGAGAGGGUGAACGGCCACAAGGGGACUGAGACACGGCCCUUACUCCUACGGGAGGCAGCAGUGGGGAAUAUUGGACAAUGGACCAAAAGUCUGAUCCAGCAAUUCUGUGUGCACGAUGAAGUUUUUCGGAAUGUAAAGUGCUUUCAGUUGGGAAGAAGCAAGUGACGGUACCAACAGAAGAAGCGACGGCUAAAUACGUGCCAGCAGCCGCGGUAAUACGUAUGUCGCAAGCGUUAUCCGGAUUUAUUGGGCGUAAAGCGCGUCUAGGUGGUUAUAUAAGUCUGAUGUGAAAAUGCGGGGCUCAACUCCGUAUUGCGUUGGAAACUGUAUGACUAGAGUACUGGAGAGGUAAGCGGAACUACAAGUGUAGAGGUGAAAUUCGUAGAUAUUUGUAGGAAUGCCGAUGGGGAAGCCAGCUUACUGGACAGAUACUGACGCUAAAGCGCGAAAGCGUGGGUAGCAAACAGG